UAUCGCCCAGCCCUACCCGAGUAGGAUGGGUUCCUCGGACUGAGUCUUGGUUCCUUCCAAGGUUUCUUCCUCUUAAAGGGAGUUUUUCCUUGCCACUGUGUCACCAUAAAAUUGGCAUCUCUGUGGUGCUGCUCAUAAGAGGCGUGGACCUGUUUUUCCUGUAAAGCGGCUUUGUGACAACCUUUGUUGUAAAAAGCGCUAUAUAAAUAAAAUUGAAUUGAAUUGAAUUGAAUAUACGUUAUUAUUACUAUUACCAGGCCUCAACCUUGUUUUUCUUUCUCGAGAGCGCCAGCCCUGAUAACAGUUCAAUGAGUGACCGAAUCACUGAGUGAACGAGAGCACCAGCCCUGAUAACAGUUCAGUGAGUGAAGGAAUCACUGAGCAUUGAGCAAGUUUCCUCGCAAUUAGAGUCUCCGCCACCAGAUUCGCCGGUGAUUCAGUGAUUCACAGACCACACAGCAGUUCCCCUGCCGGCCUGUGGGGUCGCUGCUGAGCUUAACUACUGAACUGAGAAAUUAACGAAUCAGCUGGGGAAGUGAUUGGAUUCAGUUCGUUCACUCAAAUGAUUCAUGAACGACACAACACUAAUUUUUCGGCGUGGUUGCGGCCUACAGCAACCUGUGUUCUAAGUUGAGUCAAUAAAGCGACUUAAACUGCCUACUCGGUCCUUCUUUCAGAGUCCAGGCGGACGCUACAAUAUAUUUAAAACCCCUUCAGUCCAGUAACAGCUGUGUUUAUUUGUUUUUUAAAGUCACUGGUUAGCACUGGUUGAUCUCAGUUCAUAAUAUUGCAGCAAAUAUCCAGCACAACAAACCCAGCUUUAAACCCAAACCAUCGCUGUAUAAACAGAGACAGAGGAGAAGUUUUCUUUCAGAAACAGCGAGGGUUACCUGCGUGUUUACUAAUCCGUUACUCGUUCGUGCUGGCGUUAAGAUCAUUUGCAUGUUAGGUGGAUUUACAGGGCUAACGUGUAUUUAUCUUAUUAAUCUUUAGUGAUAGCAGGUAAAAUCUUGGCAAUGAAAGCUAUAUGAGUCUCGUGGCUCGAGUUUAUGGGGCGUUUGGGGACAGUAGAACCAAAACAGCUUAGCUAUGUAAGUUAGUUUGCUAACUUACGGAGCUACUUCAUGACGCAGAUUAGUCCAUUCAUCAUUAAAUUAUCAUACAGUGCAAAGAACAAAUGCUGUGUUCAGAUGAUGUGGUAAACUAUUCAUCUACAUGUUGUUCUUUCUUAGCUAUUCAUGUGAUUUUCUCUAUCAUUAACAGGGUGGUGAGCUUCCUGAGGGCUUUGAGGAUAGUUAUCCUGGUGCGUGUCUUUCGUCUGGCCUCUCAGAAGAAAGAUCUGGAGAAGGUCACUAGAAGAAAGGUAUCUGAGAACAAAAGGCGGUAACAAAAAGGAUGGAUUUGAUUUGGAUCUCACCUAUGUCACAGGCACUCUACAGAAAUCCCAUAAAAGAAGCUGCCAUAUUUCUGGACACAAAGCAUCCCGAUCAUUACAGAGUUUACAAUCUCUGCAGUCAAAAAGGCUACGAUCCACUGUUCUUCCAUUACAGAGUGCAACGAGUGAUGAUUGACGACCAUAACGUACCGUCAUUAGACCAACCCACUCGUUAGGACUCCCCCUAUCACUAGUAAUGCCCCAACACACCAGGAGGAUGAAGACUAGCACACUCUUUCUCCGAUACAUGUGAAGUCAGCCACCGCUUCUUUUCGAGCUGCUGCUGAUGCAGCAUUGCCAAGCAGCCAGCACAUUUGGAGGAAAGCGCAGCGGCAGGUGAAGUGCGUAAUAUGGACAGUGUGCGCUUUGCACUUGUGCAACUUUUUUUUAAAAACAGUUUGAUUUGUUUCUGCUAUAUUUUGAUUCAUAGCUUUAUAUAAAAUGAAAAUAACUUAUAACUAUAUUAUUUUCUUUAGCCCGAGGAACCUGAGGAAAGUGGUGGGAAAUCUCGAGCCAGGUCAGACCUUGGGUUGGGUUUGGGCAGAGAACCUAAGCUCUUAUUCACAUAUUGAACUUUGUGUUAUUGUGUUCUCAGUGACAUGUUGAACUACACUGCCAGUUUGAGGGAAUGUCAUUGCCAUCCACUGCAAAGGAGGCAAAGGUGUGGGAAAGGGCAAUGGCAGUGAUCUGAAGGUGCGGAUCAUAGUGAAAAGAGAGCAGGUGUUCCAGUGUGUCUGUGCCACGCAGACGAACUGUAGGCUGUUCCCAGAUACUGAAAACAAUGCCGUGGUGAUCAGCUUUCAGGAAGGGCCAGUGGUUUGUGGUGAUGUUAAGGUCAUGUUUGAAUCCAGGGCUGGUCUUCCAAAGGGGUAUGAGGACUAUCCUUUCUAUUUCUGGUUCAACACUUCAUUUGUAGAGAACAACAGGCUCUAUCUGUCAAGGGAGGAACUGGACAACCCACGUAAGUCCAAAACCUGGGACAUCUACAAGGAGGACUUUGGUGUGACCGUGUCUUUCAGUGACCCUGCACUUAUGUAGCAGACGACACUUGCUUGUGUAUCUCAACUAAAACCCUUAAGCCCUGCACAAGGUCUAAAUCUUUGCUCUAAUGUCGGUUUUCACACACUUAUAAAAGGUGAGUGAUGUUUAGGGAUUGGAUUCGGGCAUAUUGUGCCCCUAAAGCUAUAGCUAUAUAACCUCAACUUUAUGUCCAUAACCCAUCUUCACUGUAAGAGCUUUUUACUGAGCCGUGCAUACAUCACAAUAUUAUGCAUUUGUUUGUCAAAUGUUUUUUUGUCUUUAAAUGAAGACAAAUGUUUGUGUCAGUUUAGCAUAUUAUGCUUCCAAAAUGUAAAUCUUACUCUUUAAGCUUGAGUGUACAUCAAAUAAAGCAAUCGAGGCUGCCACUGUGAAAUGGUCAAUGGUUAUGUGUGCAGAAACAUUUUUUUGUAGUACACAUGUAUUGAAAUAAAUACGAAUGUCUCUGUAA
Long non-coding RNA from Astyanax mexicanus (Mexican tetra), 2924 nucleotides. RefSeq lists it as uncharacterized. The record is from RefSeq and is a predicted model, not a curated record. NCBI's taxonomy places the organism in Eukaryota, Metazoa, Chordata, Actinopteri, Characiformes, Acestrorhamphidae. The transcript has 10 exons.